Molecule: ribosomal RNA, 197 nt
Filed under: uncultured bacterium
Lineage: Bacteria
Description: partial 16S ribosomal RNA
Rfam family: Bacterial small subunit ribosomal RNA
Source: RNAcentral
ACGCUCGACACCUACGGAGGCAGCAGUGGGGAAUAUUGCACAAUGGGGGAAACCCUGAUGCAGCGACGCCGCGUGAAGGAAGAAGUAUCUCGGUAUGUAAACUUCUAUCAGCAGGGAAGAAAAUGACGGUACCUGACUAAGAAGCCCCGGCUAACUACGUGCCAACAGCCGCGGUAAUCUGAGCGGGCUGGCAAGGC